AUACGUAGGUGGCAAGCGUUGUCCGGAUUUACUGGGCGUAAAGAGUAUGUAGGCGGAUAUUUAAGUCAGAUGUGAAAUUCCCGGGCUCAACCUGGGAAGUGCAUUUGAAACUGGGUAUCUAGAGUGUGGAAGAGGUAAGUGGAAUUCCGAGUGUAGAGGUGAAAUUCGUAGAUAUUCGGAGGAACACCAGUGGCGAAGGCGGCUUACUGGUCCAUUACUGACGCCGAGGUGCGAAAGCGUGGGGAGC
RNAcentral lists this ribosomal RNA (247 nucleotides) under uncultured bacterium. Its description in RNAcentral is "partial 16S ribosomal RNA". It matches the Rfam family "Bacterial small subunit ribosomal RNA", at positions 523 to 769 of the family's 1533-position model. The record is from RNAcentral.